GACAGAGGGUGCAAACGUUGUUCGGAAUUACUGGGCGUAAAGCGCGUGUAGGCGGCCAUCUAAGUCGGGCGUGAAAUCCCACGGCUCAACCGUGGAAGUGCACUCGAAACUGGAUGGCUAGAGUCCUGGAGAGGAAGGUGGAAUGCUUGGUGUAGAGGUGAAAUUCGUAGAUAUCAAGCGGAACACCGGGUGGCGAAGGCGGCCUUCUGGACAGUGACUGACGCUGAG
RNAcentral lists this ribosomal RNA (228 nucleotides) under uncultured bacterium. Its description in RNAcentral is "partial 16S ribosomal RNA". It matches the Rfam family "Bacterial small subunit ribosomal RNA", at positions 524 to 750 of the family's 1533-position model. The record is from RNAcentral.